Molecule: ribosomal RNA, 462 nt
Filed under: uncultured bacterium
Lineage: Bacteria
Description: partial 16S ribosomal RNA
Rfam family: Bacterial small subunit ribosomal RNA
Source: RNAcentral
GACGAACGCUGGCGGCGUGCUUAACACAUGCAAGUCGAACGGAAAGGCCCUUCGGGGUUGUCGUGUGGCGAAGGGGUGAGUAACACGUGGAUGAUCUUCCCUGCACCUUGGGUUUAGCCUGGGAUACUGGAUCUAAUACUAAUUAGGACCACGAGCUGCAUGGUGUGUGGUGGAAAGGUAUUGCGGUGUGGGAUGGGCCCGCGGCUUAUCAGCUUGUUGGUGGGGGAAUGGCCUACCAAGGCCACGACGGGUAGCCGGCCUGAGAGGGUGACCGGGCACACUGGGACUGAGAUACGGCCCAGACUCCUACGGGAGGCAGCAGUGGGGAAUAUUGCACAAUGGGCGCAAGCCUGAUGCAGCGACGCCGCGUGAGGGAUGACGGCCUUCGGGUUGUAAACCGCUUUCGAUUGGGACGAAGCGGAAGUGACGGUACCGAGAGAAGAAGCACCGGCUAACUACGUG